CUAACACAUGCAAGUCGAACGGUAACAGGGAUUGCUUGCAAUCCGCUGACGAGUGGCGCACGGGUGCGUAACGCGUAUAGAACCUACCCUUUACAGGGGGAUAGCCCGGAGAAAUCCGGAUUAAUACCCCAUAGUAAUACUUCAGGGCAUCCUGAAGUUUUUAAAGUUUCGACGGUAAAGGAUGGCUAUGCGUCUUAUUAUCUAGUAGGCGAGGUAACGGCUCACCUAGGCAACGAUAAGUAGGGGCCCUGAGAGGGGGAUCCCCCACACUGGUACUGAGACACGGACCAGACUCCUACGGGAGGCAGCAGUGAGGAAUAUUGGACAAUGGACGAGAGACUGAUCCAGCCAUGCCGCGUGCAGGAAGACGGCCCUACGGGUUGUAAACUGCUUUUUUACGGGAAGAAUAAUACCCACGUGUGGGUAGAUGACGGUACCGUACGAAUAAGGACCGGCUAACUCCGUGCCAGCAGCCCGCGGUAAUACGGAGGGUCCGAGCGUUAUCCGGAAUUAUUGGGUUUAAAGGGUCCGCAGGCGGGCCAGUAAGUCAGGGGUGAAAGUUUGCGGCUCAACCGUAAAAUUGCCUUUGAUACUGCUGGUCUUGAGUUGCGGUGAAGUGGCCGGAAUAUGUGGUGUAGC
Molecule: ribosomal RNA, 639 nt
Filed under: uncultured Bacteroidota bacterium
Lineage: Bacteria; Pseudomonadati; Bacteroidota
Description: bacterial SSU rRNA
Rfam family: Bacterial small subunit ribosomal RNA
Source: RNAcentral